UACACUCCUACGGGAGGCAGCAGUGGGGAAUUUUGGACAAUGGGCGAAAGCCUGAUCCAGCAAUGCCGCGUGAGUGAAGAAGGCCUUCGGGUUGUAAAGCUCUUUUGUCAGGGAAGAAACGGUGAGAGCUAAUAUCUCUUGCUAAUGACGGUACCUGAAGAAUAAGCAUCGGCUAACUACGUGCCAGCAGCCGCGGUAAUACGUAGGGUGCAAGCGUUAAUCGGAAUUACUGGGCGUAAAGCGUGCGCAGGCGGUUUUGUAAGUCUGAUGUGAAAUCCCCGGGCUCAACCUGGGAAUUGCAUUGGAGACUGCAAGGCUAGAAUCUGGCAGAGGGGGGUAGAAUUCCACGUGUAGCAGUGAAAUGCGUAGAUAUGUGGAGGAACACCGAUGGCGAAGGCAGCCCCCUGGGUCAAGAUUGACGCUCAUGCACGAAAGCGUGGGGAGCAAACAGGAUUAGAUACCCCAGUAGUCCCAU
Molecule: ribosomal RNA, 475 nt
Filed under: uncultured organism
Description: partial 16S ribosomal RNA
Rfam family: Bacterial small subunit ribosomal RNA
Source: RNAcentral